CUCAAGUUUCUGCCUGCAAAAUGGGAUGCUGAUGGUACCACGGAAUCUCUACAACUGAAGGAACUGUUCUGUGCCCCACACCUAGCCAACAAAUGAUCAUCCACUUGAAGAUUUUAAAGCCCAUGGGAUAGAAGGCAAUUUGAAAGAAGCAGCUUGCUGGAGAAGUCGUGAGCCAGGCUCUGGGACUCUGGGCAAAUCCAUCCUACUCGUCCAGCCACUGCAAUGGAAAUCCAGCUUUCUGGAUUGGAGCUCAGCAG
This 257-nucleotide long non-coding RNA is filed under the name Sarcophilus harrisii (Tasmanian devil). RNAcentral's name for it is "lncRNA (ENSSHAG00000022180.1)". Lineage: Eukaryota; Metazoa; Chordata; Mammalia; Dasyuromorphia; Dasyuridae. The record is from RNAcentral.